CUCUUACAUCAGUAGACAAAGAUUCCCUUCCAUGGCAACUGUUUAUGGAAUGAGGGAAUUUUGAGAAAAUGAGUCUCACAUGAAGAGCAUUCAGAUGAACCCCUUUACAACAAGAGGAGAAGGACUAUGAUGCCUUAUUGUUGCCAGUUGAGCACUUUCUCCCAGGCGCAUCAGGAGUUCAGAAGAUUAUUUCUCCCAGACUUCAGUCUCGUCUUCCCAUUUCUUCACUUCUGACACAAGUCACUGACAAAACACCACGGAUGAUAUGCAUCAUAUGAAGGGCUCUGUGGUACUUCAUCUAUGAACUGUUUUAGAAGUGUGUAGAAAUGUAGGGAAACUCGAGUGUGAUGAAGUCCUAAAAGAGGCAGUUCUGUAAACUGAUUUCCUACAAUACACUUCACUAUCAGUU
Anolis carolinensis (green anole) is the source of this 409-nucleotide long non-coding RNA. RefSeq lists it as uncharacterized. The transcript has 2 exons. NCBI's taxonomy places the organism in Eukaryota, Metazoa, Chordata, Lepidosauria, Squamata, Anolidae. The record is from RefSeq and is a predicted model, not a curated record.